Molecule: ribosomal RNA, 468 nt
Filed under: uncultured bacterium
Lineage: Bacteria
Description: partial 16S ribosomal RNA
Rfam family: Bacterial small subunit ribosomal RNA
Source: RNAcentral
GACGAACGCUGGCGGCGUGCUUAACACAUGCAAGUCGAACGGAAAGGCCCUGCUUUUGUGGGGUGCUCGAGUGGCGAACGGGUGAGUAACACGUGAGUAACCUGCCCUUGUCUUUGGGAUAACUUCAGGAAACUGGGGCUAAUACCGGAUAGGAGCUCCUGCUGCAUGGUGGGGGUUGGAAAGUUUCGGCGGUUGGGGAUGGACUCGAGGCUUAUCAGCUUGUUGGUGGGGUAGUGGCUUACCAAGGCUUUGACGGGUAGCCGGCCUGAGAGGGUGACCGGCCACAUGGGGACUGAGAUACGGCCCAGACGCCUACGGGAGGCAGCAGUGGGGAAUAUUGCACAAUGGGCGGAAGCCUGAGGCAGCAACGCCGCGUGCGUGAUGACGUCCUUCGGGUUGUAAACCGCUGUCGCCUGUGACGAAGCGGGAGUGACGGUAAUGGGUAAAGAAGCACCGGCUAACUACGUG